UCCAUCAUACACCUGUGCUUUUUCUACCAUGACCUGUCAUAGGUGAAACAUACAGUAUAAGACCGGGAAACCACAAUUUAAACACCUGCGUUUGUGACAGAUUGAGACACUCUUUUCUUGGCAGAAGUAAUAAAGGGAGAAGAUUAUGAAGAGAGGCUUCUCCCUGUGAGCCAAUAACAUUAUAAUGUCUAACAGAGCACAUAAAACACUGUAAUAAUCACAAACUCAGCUCAGCUAUUUAUAUCAUCUGCACGUUUAUUCAUCAGUCAGAAAACACACACACACGUCUCUCAAUCAUCCAUUGAGUCAGUGAGUACAGUGGUUUAUUGGCAACACAGAAGUUCAGAGGCACUGACAGUGUACUGAGGUUUUCACAGAGAAUAUUGAUGUGUGUGUGUGUGUGUGUGUGUAGAUAUACACAGUUUAUACUGUCCUGCAGGGGGCACUGCUUUGAGGUUGGGGGGAGGAUGGAGGUGUGGAAGGGAGGUCCUGAAUUCUGACUGACUCAUACUGAACACCAGGAUACACAGGCUUUUCUCAAUGUGAGGCUCUUCCAUCACAGCUCAGUGACUGAGAACGGGAGUUCUGGACAGCCAAAUGCACAGGAAUCCAGCUCCUACAACAACCAUCAAAUGAUAGGUGAUAAUGAUGAUAGAUGGAUGAUGGUUGAAUACAAUGGCUUCGUUGGAAACUGCAUAAAAUUGGGGCCGCUUCGUUGUUACCUUCGCUGCAACACACAAAAACACUUCAGUUUGGACCAAAAAGUGAAUCAACACUAUUCUGAUCUUACGCCUGAACCGACAAACCAGCCAGAACAUGGAUUAUGCAAGUGGAGCUGAAGACAAAAAAGAACGGCAUCCUUUCUGGCCAACAGCUGUGUCAAAACCCACCGCAUUGGAAGCUUUCAUCUGGAAUCCAAUCAGACGCCAAAUGGCUGUGAUUCAUGGACCCAAAAUAACACUCUGGGGUGUUUGUGUUUCCGACUGCUGCUAACUGAUGGUGUGUCCGUCCCGUCAAACCGGCUGCCUGCCUGUCACCUCGCCUCACUGACCUCAGGAAAAGGAUCGCCCCCCUCUCGACCAGACUAGACGCUUAUUGGCUCCCAGGUCGUUUGAGACCCCUGCUUUAAAGUGAGUCAUGUGACCAGGAUCAGGUGAGUGAAGGCUGUAGAAACUCAGAGUUAUAAUAUUCAUAUCAGAUACAAAACGUGGUAUCAGGCCUUCCAUCGUUGAGAUGUUUGUCUAAAUCAAAUUUCUAUACAGUAGUUAAUAUGUCGAUGGUUGUGUUGUAAUGCUCCAAUGAGUGACAUUUUCAAACUCUGUGGCAGCAGCCUCGUAAAGAACUAUGUCAUCGAGACUUAACUGUGCAGAUUAACAGUGUCGAUUUCACUCAGUUGAGACUAUCUCAGUGCAGAGGGAAGAAGAAUGGGUUAAUCCAGAAGUAGAUGAUUAUAACUAAACGAGAUCGAUGAGGCCUUCUGCAAAACAUGUUUUAUUUGCGUGAGCAGUUCAAAGAACACAGUGUGCUCCCACACAAUAGAUCUGACUUUUUCACCACAGUGUUUUUAUCUUGACCAUGGUUUCAAUUAGCUGGCCCUAUUCUUUCUUCCCUGACAUGCUCUCCUUUAUGUGUUUCCUCUCAAUGGAAAAUACUUAUAUAUUCAUUGUAGUUUUGCAGUGUUGCAGUGUUGCACUGCCUUUUCAUAGUUUCAUUGUGAGCUUGUAUUGAAUGUACAGUAUGUGGGGCAAGGUCAGUGUUUCUCCUCCCCUCAGAGACGCAGAUCCAGGCCCAUGAAGUGUGAUCCACGGAGAUGCAGCAGUGGACUUUGCUGCAAAGUCAAAAAAACAUCCAUUCAUCCAUUUUCUACCGCUUUAUUCUCCACAUGAGUGUCAUGAACUACGGUCAAUUCACUUAAUCCCCAUACUGCAUGUUUCUGGACUGUGGGUGGAAACCGGAGAAAAUCAACACACAAACAUGGGGAGAACAUGCAAACUC
Solea senegalensis (Senegalese sole) is the source of this 1995-nucleotide long non-coding RNA. RefSeq lists it as uncharacterized. The record is from RefSeq and is a predicted model, not a curated record. The transcript has 7 exons. Lineage: Eukaryota; Metazoa; Chordata; Actinopteri; Pleuronectiformes; Soleidae.